UCCGGUUUGUCACCGGCAGUCUCGCAUGAGUCCCCAACUAAAUGCUGGCAACAUGCGACGGGGGUUGCGCUCGUUGCGGGACUUAACCCAACAUCUCACGACACGAGCUGACGACAGCCGUGCAGCACCUCUCCAGAGAUCCCCGAAGGGAGGCUCUCAUCUCUGAGACUUUCCUCUGAAGUUCAAACCCAGGUAAGGUUCUGCGCGUUGCUUCGAAUUAAACCACAUGCUCCACCGCUUGUGCGGGCCCCCGUCAAUUCCUUUGAGUUUCAGCCUUGCGGCCGUACUCCCCAGGCGGGGUACUUCCUGCGUUAGCGCCGGCACCCAGAGGGUCGCUCCCCCAGGCACCUAGUACCCAUCGUUUACGGCGUGGACUAC
RNAcentral lists this unclassified non-coding RNA (378 nucleotides) under uncultured bacterium. RNAcentral describes it as "contains 16S-23S intergenic spacer region". The record is from RNAcentral.